Molecule: ribosomal RNA, 492 nt
Filed under: uncultured bacterium
Lineage: Bacteria
Description: partial 16S ribosomal RNA
Rfam family: Bacterial small subunit ribosomal RNA
Source: RNAcentral
AGUGAACGCUGGCGGUAGGCCUAACACAUGCAAGUCGAACGGCAGCACAGUAAGAGCUUGCUCUUACGGGUGGCGAGUGGCGGACGGGUGAGGAAUACAUCGGAAUCUACUUUUUCGUGGGGGAUAACGUAGGGAAACUUACGCUAAUACCGCAUACGACCUACGGGUGAAAGCAGGGGAUCUUCGGACCUUGCGCGAUUGAAUGAGCCGAUGUCGGAUUAGCUAGUUGGCGGGGUAAAGGCCCACCAAGGCGACGAUCCGUAGCUGGUCUGAGAGGAUGAUCAGCCACACUGGAACUGAGACACGGUCCAGACUCCUACGGGGGGCAGCAGUGGGGAAUAUUGGACAAUGGGCGCAAGCCUGAUCCAGCCAUACCGCGCGGGUGAAGAAGGCCUUCGGGUUGUAAAGCCCUUUUGUUGGGAAAGAAAAGCAGCAGGUUAAUACCCCGCUGUUCUGACGGUACCCAAAGAAUAAGCACCGGCUAACUUCGUG